GGGUUUGUGGCUCAGUGGUAGAGCACCCACCUCGCAUGUGUGAGGCACUGGGUGCGAUCCUCAGCACCA
RNAcentral lists this transfer RNA (69 nucleotides) under Ictidomys tridecemlineatus (thirteen-lined ground squirrel). RNAcentral's name for it is "Spermophilus tridecemlineatus (thirteen-lined ground squirrel) tRNA". It matches the Rfam family "tRNA". From Rfam's summary of the family: Transfer RNA (tRNA) molecules are approximately 80 nucleotides in length. Their secondary structure includes four short double-helical elements and three loops (D, anti-codon, and T loops). The record is from Rfam by way of RNAcentral. Lineage: Eukaryota; Metazoa; Chordata; Mammalia; Rodentia; Sciuridae.